Molecule: unclassified non-coding RNA, 211 nt
Filed under: plant metagenome
Description: partial contains small subunit ribosomal RNA, internal transcribed spacer 1, and 5.8S ribosomal RNA
Source: RNAcentral
UUUCCGUAGGUGAACCUGCGGAAGGAUCAUUCAUAAUAAGUGUUUUAUGGCACUUUUUUAAAUCCAUAUCCACCUUGUGUGCAAUGUCAGGGUUGAUUUUUCUCUCGAGAGGAUCAGCCCCAAACAUCAACUAUAUCUCAACUCUGUCUGAAAAAUAUUAUGAAUAAAACAAUUCAAAAUACAACUUUCAACAACGGAUCUCUUGGCUCUC